Molecule: unclassified non-coding RNA, 253 nt
Filed under: uncultured Parcubacteria group bacterium
Lineage: Bacteria
Description: contains 16S-23S intergenic spacer region
Rfam family: Bacterial small subunit ribosomal RNA
Source: RNAcentral
UACAGAGGCCCCAAGCGUUACCCGGAAUCAUUGGGCGUAAAGGGUGUGUAGGUGGUCGUCUUAGUCGCCUGUUAAAGACCGGGGCUCAACCCCGGAAAUGCGGGCGAAACGGUACGACUAGAGGGUGUGAGAGGUCUGUAGAACUCAAGGUGUAGGGGUGAAAUCCGUUGAUAUCUUGGGGAAUACCGAAAGCGAAGGCAGCAGACUGGCGCAUUCCUGACACUGAGACACGAAGGCGUGGGUAGCGAACAGG